RNAcentral lists this ribosomal RNA (465 nucleotides) under uncultured Glomus. Its description in RNAcentral is "SSU rRNA". It matches the Rfam family "Eukaryotic small subunit ribosomal RNA", at positions 569 to 1034 of the family's 1831-position model. Lineage: Eukaryota; Fungi; Glomeromycota; Glomeromycetes; Glomerales; Glomeraceae. The record is from RNAcentral.
AGCAGCCGCGGUAAUUCCAGCUCCAAUAGCGUAUAUUAAAGUUGCUGCAGUUAAAAAGCUCGUAGUUGAAUUUCGGGACUAAUAUGUCGGUCGUGCCUCGGUACGUACUGGUUUAUUGGUUUCUCCUUUCUGAAGAACCAUGAUGUCAUUUAUUUGGUGUCGUGGGGAAUCAGGACUGUUACUUUGAAAAAUUAGAGUGUUUAAAGCAGGCUCACGCUUGAAUACAUUAGCAUGGAAUAAUGAAAUAGGACGUUUGAUUCUAUUUUGUGGUUUCUAGGAUCGACGUAAUGAUUAAUAGGGAUAGUUGGGGCAUUAGUAUUCAAUUGUCAGAGGUUGAAAUUCUUGGGAUUUUUAUUGAAGACUAACUACUGCGAAAAGCAUUUUGCCAAGGAUGUUUUCAUUAAUCAAGAACGAAAGUUUAGGGGAUUCGAAGACGAUCAGAUACCGUCGUAGUCUUAAACCGAU